RNAcentral lists this ribosomal RNA (412 nucleotides) under bacterium enrichment culture clone ALO1_GLFRUDD03FZZ0D. RNAcentral's name for it is "bacterial SSU rRNA". It matches the Rfam family "Bacterial small subunit ribosomal RNA", at positions 9 to 420 of the family's 1533-position model. The record is from RNAcentral.
GAGUUUGAUCGUGGUCUCGAGAUUGAACGGCUGGCGGCAUGCCUUACACAUGCAAGUCGAACGGCAGCACGGGAGCUUGCUCCUGGUGGCGAGUGGCGAACGGGUGAGUAAUGCAUCGGAACGUAUCCUGGAGUGGGGGAUAACGUAGCGAAAGUUACGCUAAUACCGCAUAUUCUGUGAGCAGGAAAGCGGGGGACCUUCGGGCCUCGCGCUCUUGGAGCGGCCGAUGUCGGAUUAGCUAGUUGGUGAGGUAAAGGCUCACCAAGGCGACGAUCCGUAGCAGGUCUGAGAGGAUGAUCUGCCACACUGGAACUGAGACACGGUCCAGACUCCUACGGGAGGCAGCAGUGGGAAUUUUGGACAAUGGGGCAACCCUGAUCCAGCCAUGCCGCGUGAGUGAAGAAGGCCUCGG